RNAcentral lists this ribosomal RNA (425 nucleotides) under uncultured bacterium. Its description in RNAcentral is "bacterial SSU rRNA". It matches the Rfam family "Bacterial small subunit ribosomal RNA", at positions 355 to 796 of the family's 1533-position model. The record is from RNAcentral.
UGGGGAAUCUUGGACAAUGGGGGAAACCCUGAUCCAGCCAUGCCGCGUGAGUGAUGAAGGCCUUCGGGUUGUAAAGCUCUUUCGCGCACGACGAUAAUGACGGUAGUGCGAGAAGAAGCUCCGGCUAACUUCGUGCCAGCAGCCGCGGUAAUACGAAGGGGGCUAGCGUUGUUCGGAAUUACUGGGCGUAAAGCGCGCGCAGGCGGUCUUACAAGUCAGAGGUGAAAGCCCGGAGCCUAACUCCGGAACUGCCCCUGAGACUGUUAGACUUCGAGUACGGGAGAGGUGAGUGGAAUUCCGAGUGUAGAGGUGAAAUUCGUAGAUAUUCGGAAGAACACCGGUGGCGAAGGCGGCUCACUGGCCCGUUACUGACGCUCAGGCGCGACAGCGUGGGGAUCAAACAGGAUUAGAUACCCCCGUAGUCC